This 707-nucleotide ribosomal RNA is filed under the name uncultured Actinomycetes bacterium. Its description in RNAcentral is "bacterial SSU rRNA". It matches the Rfam family "Bacterial small subunit ribosomal RNA", at positions 93 to 814 of the family's 1533-position model. The record is from RNAcentral. Lineage: Bacteria; Bacillati; Actinomycetota; Actinomycetes.
GAGUGGCGAACGGGUGAGUAACACGUGGGUGAUCUGCCCUGCACUUCGGGAUAAGCCUGGGAAACUGGGUCUAAUACCGGAUAGGAGCCAUUUUUAGUGUGAUGGUUGGAAAGUUUUUUCGGUGUAGGAUGAGCUCGCGGCCUAUCAGCUUGUUGGUGGGGUAAUGGCCUACCAAGGCGGCGACGGGUAGCCGGCCUGAGAGGGUGGACGGCCACAUUGGGACUGAGAUACGGCCCAGACUCCUACGGGAGGCAGCAGUGGGGAAUAUUGCACAAUGGGCGCAAGCCUGAUGCAGCGACGCCGCGUGGGGGAUGACGGCCUUCGGGUUGUAAACUCCUUUCGCUAGGGACGAAGCUUUUUGUGACGGUACCUAGAUAAGAAGCACCGGCUAACUACGUGCCAGCAGCCGCGGUAAUACGUAGGGUGCGAGCGUUGUCCGGAAUUACUGGGCGUAAAGGGCUCGUAGGUGGUUUGUCGCGUCGUCUGUGAAAUUCCGGGGCUUAACUCCGGGCGUGCAGGCGAUACGGGCAUAACUUGAGUACUGUAGGGGUAACUGGAAUUCCUGGUGUAGCGGUGAAAUGCGCAGAUAUCAGGAGGAACACCGAUGGCGAAGGCAGGUUACUGGGCAGUUACUGACGCUGAGGAGCGAAAGCAUGGGUAGCGAACAGGAUUAGAUACCCUGGUAGUCCAUGCCGUAAACGGUGGGC